CUUAGAAGGGAUAAAGAAUAAUAACAAGAAAGAAGACAAAAUGGUCACUCUUGACUUGUCUGGGUCGACUGGAGGCUUCUUCUCUUGCAACUCCAGUGCUGUUACUAAGUUUGUUCCUUCUGGGCAGACUAUCUUCUUCUGCUAUUUGGUCAAUAUCAGUGAAGAGCAGGAGGUGGAGUUCAGGAGGAGCAUUAGUAUUGAGGUAGAGAAUACGAGGGAGACCCCGAAGAGUGUGAAUAACUACCAGUUGAGGGCUAAUAGUAGAGAUUAUAGUGAAGUG
This 280-nucleotide non-coding RNA is filed under the name Litonotus pictus. Lineage: Eukaryota; Ciliophora; Litostomatea; Pleurostomatida; Litonotidae. The record is from RNAcentral.